AUAAAGUAAAAUAUGACUUGUAGAUCUUGGCCCGCAAAGAUUACAAAUUUAGUGAAAAGGCCCAAAUCAGACCAACAGAUCCUUCAUCCUUGCCAAAACUAAACAUUUUGAAUUGAUCAACCCAACCAUUUUCUUACUUAAACUGUCCAACUAAAAAUCUAUAAACAUUUUAAUUGACCAUGUAACCUUUUUCCCCCUUACUUUUGAAAUUGGACAUGUUAAUUAAUCUUUUUCUUGCUUUUUCAAAACUAUUAUUUUUUUCUUACUUAAAAUUGUCAAGUUGUGAAGAAAUCACUUGAAUCAUUGGCUCCAUAAAAACUCAACAGUACUGGAUGGAUGACUGCAUCUUCACGGUCGUCGCAUUAUGCCCUUAGCAAGAUCUGGAAAGAUACAGCUAAUAAGCGUUCAACCAUGCUAUAGCUCAACAUUUGCACAUAUUUAAGGCAUGUAGGUUUGAAUGAUUAUAACAUUGGGCUAAGAGAGUUCAUCAAACUGACCACAAUGCAGGUAAAAACAACAGUAUAGAAUUAACUCCCUAUUAAUAUCUAGCCAAUUUGAAGAAUGGUCUUAACAUCUAGAACUGCACCAAUUAGUCUAUCUCGGUGCAUAUGACCAACCUUUUUUUCAGAGAACAGGUAUCACCAAAAAGAAUUUGUCCGAUUUUGCUAACUCCUGUAGUCAACGUUAAAAAAAAUCACAGCAUAAACAUUAAGAAGGUUGUUCUGUAUAUAUAGGUUUAAAGACAGGUGAGGGUAAUAAGGUGCAUACAAGAUUGCAAUAUUCUAGUUUUGUUAAUUUCAUAUGGAUCACAAAUAACACAAACAUAUGUAAGGCGUACAGUCAAAGGUAUGCAUAAGGCCACUACUACCUGGAGUAUAGAAGCUCUUGUAGGGUACGAUGGCAUAGUCCGGCCUUGUAUCAU
RNAcentral lists this long non-coding RNA (922 nucleotides) under Setaria italica (foxtail millet). Its description in RNAcentral is "long non-coding RNA (SITA_LNC004694)". Lineage: Eukaryota; Viridiplantae; Streptophyta; Magnoliopsida; Poales; Poaceae. The record is from RNAcentral.